GACGAAUGCUGGCGGCGUGCCUAAUACAUGCAAGUUGAGCGCUGAAGGUUGGUACUUGUACCAACUGGAUGAGCAGCGAACGGGUGAGUAACGCGUGGGGAAUCUGCCUUUGAGCGGGGGACAACAUUUGGAAACGAAUGCUAAUACCGCAUAAAAACUUUAAACACAAGUUUUAAGUUUGAAAGAUGCCAUUGCAUCACUCAAAGAUGAUCCCGCGUUGUAUUAGCUAGUUGGUGAGGUAAAGGCUCACCAAGGCGAUGAUACAUAGCCGACCUGAGAGGGUGAUCGGCCACAUUGGGACUGAGACACGGCCCAAACUCCUACGGGAGGCAGCAGUAGGGAAUCUUCGGCAAUGGACGAAAGUCUGACCGAGCAACGCCGCGUGAGUGAAGAAGGUUGUCGGAUCGUAAAGCUCUGUUGGUAGAGAAGAACGUUGGUGAGAGUGGAAAGCUCAUCAAGUGACGGUAACUACCCAGAAAGGGACGGCUAACUACGUG
RNAcentral lists this ribosomal RNA (497 nucleotides) under uncultured bacterium. Its description in RNAcentral is "partial 16S ribosomal RNA". It matches the Rfam family "Bacterial small subunit ribosomal RNA", at positions 28 to 507 of the family's 1533-position model. The record is from RNAcentral.